GCUUAAAGACUCGUACAUUGUGCAUUUGUGCUCUUGGGAUCCCAGAAGAUAUUAGUUCUCAAAUUACCAACACCGAACUGUAAGACACCUAGUCAUGACCUGCAACCUCACAUUGUGCUUGUUACUAUCAGCCACACUACUUAAUCAACCUUGUGCUUUGGAGGAGGUAGCUUAUGAAUCAGAGGCUUCAGAGCUAGAGGUUUUGACUCGGGAGCUGUUGAAAUCAGCGAGAGAGCCUGAGUUCUUUGAAUGGAUGAUAGGGCUGAGGAGGAGGAUUCAUGAGUACCCAGAGCUGGGAUUUGAAGAGCACAAGACCAGUGAGCUCAUCAGGGCUGAGCUUGACUUUCUAGGGAUUGAUUACAAAUGGCCUGUGGCCAAGACCGGAGUGGUGGCCUUUAUUGGGUCUGGCUCUAAACCAGUGUUUGGACUAAGAGCUGACAUGGAUGCUCUCCCUGUCCAGGAAUUAAUAGAGUGGGAACACAAGAGCAAGAUUGAUGGAAAGAUGCACGCUUGCGGUCACGAUUCUCAUGUAGCAAUGCUACUUGGCUCAACCAAGUUGCUUCAACAGAAAAGAGACGUGUUGAAGGUAGAUCUUAAACUAGUGUUUCAGCCUGGAGAAGAGGGUAAUGCUGGUGCUUACCAUAUGUAAAAGAUGAUGUCUUGCAUGAUAUCGAUGCAAUCUUGAGUAUACAUGUGUUUCCAUUAGCACCUACUGGUGCCAUAGCUUCGAGGCCUGGUCCAGUGUUUGCUGGUGUAGGGCUCUUUACAGCUACGAUAUAAGGGAGAGGAGGGCAUGGAGCAGCUCCACAUGAGACUAGGGACCCUAUGAUUGCAGCAGCCUUUUCAACCAUUGCUCUCCAACAAAUCGUGUCUCGGGAGACCGAUCCUCUUGAAUCCAGAGUGGUAACUGUUGGGCACAUAAAUGGAGGUCAAGCAGGAAAUGUUAUCCCAGAGACUGUGAAACUAGGCCGAACUUUUAGGAGCUUUAGUUCUGAGGGUCUUUCCCAUCCCAAACAAAGGAUCAAAGAGAUCAUAGAGCAGCAAGUAGCUGUGCAUCGUUGUACUGCGGUGGUGGACUUCAUGGAGGAAAAACCGAUGCCUAAUCCAGCAAUGUUUAAUGAUGAAGCACUGUACGAACACGUAAAGAAAGUUGGUGAGGUCCUUCUUGGGAAACCUAAUGUGCAGCUUAUGCCAAUUGUCAUGGGUUCGGAGGAUUUUAGCUUCUUUGCGGAGAGGAUUCCUGCUGCAAUAUUUGUUCUUGGGACAAGGAAUGAGACUCUGAAAGCAGACAAGCACCUGCACUCGCCCAGGUUUUUUAUCAACGAGGAGGCUCUUCCAAUAGGAGCAGCACUCAAUGCAGCAGUUACAAUUUCUUACUUGGAUGACAAUGAUGUGAUGACUUGCUGCACAGUUCUUGAAAGGGACAGAACAGCUUUCUCAGACACGUGUAGAACAUCUGAAUUCUGA
This is an RNA transcript of Fragaria vesca subsp. vesca, 1467 nucleotides long. It is a transcript of the gene named IAA-amino acid hydrolase ILR1-like, with no coding region annotated. NCBI's taxonomy places the organism in Eukaryota, Viridiplantae, Streptophyta, Magnoliopsida, Rosales, Rosaceae. The transcript is spliced from 7 exons. The record is from RefSeq and is a predicted model, not a curated record.